AGUGAACGCUGGCGGUAGGCCUAACACAUGCAAGUCGAACGGCAGCACAGUAAGAGCUUGCUCUUACGGGUGGCGAGUGGCGGACGGGUGAGGAAUACAUCGGAAUCUACUUUUUCGUGGGGGAUAACGUAGGGAAACUUACGCUAAUACCGCAUACGACCUACGGGUGAAAGCAGCGGAUCUUCGGACCUUGCUCGAUUGAAUGAGCCGAUGUCGGAUUAGCUAGUUGGCGGGGUAAAGGCCCACCAAGGCGACGAUCCGUAGCUGGUCUGAGAGGAUGAUCAGCCAAACGGGAACUGAGACACAGUCCAGACGCCUAAGGGAGGAAGCAGUGGGGAAUAUUGGACGAUGGGCGCAAGCCUGAUACAGCCAUACCGCGUGGGUGAAGAAGGCCUUCGGGUUGGAAAGCCCUUUUGUUGGGAAAGAAAAGCAGCAGGUUAAUACGGCGCUGUUCUGACGGUACCCAAAGAAAAAGCACCGGCUAACUACGUG
This 492-nucleotide ribosomal RNA is filed under the name uncultured bacterium. RNAcentral's name for it is "partial 16S ribosomal RNA". It matches the Rfam family "Bacterial small subunit ribosomal RNA", at positions 29 to 507 of the family's 1533-position model. The record is from RNAcentral.